GACGAACGCUGGCGGCGUGCUUAACACAUGCAAGUCGAACGAAGAGCGAUGGAAGCUUGCUUCUAUCAAUCUUAGUGGCGAACGGGUGAGUAACGCGUAAUCAACCUGCCCUUCAGAGGGGGACAACAGUUGGAAACGACUGCUAAUACCGCAUACGAUCUAAUCUCGGCAUCGAGGAUAGAUGAAAGGUGGCCUCUACAUGUAAGCUAUCACUGAAGGAGGGGAUUGCGGCUGAUUAGCUAGUUGGAGGGGUAACGGCCCACCAAGGGGAAGAUCAGUAGCCGGUCUGAGAGGAUGGACGGCCAAAAUGGGACUGAGACACGGCCCAGGCUCCUAAGGGAGGCAGCAGUGGGGAAUCUUCCGCAAUGGACGAAAGUCUGGCGGAGCAACGCCGCGUGAGUGAAGACGGCCUUCGGGUUGGAAAGCUCUGUUUAUCGGGACGAAAGGCCUUCUUGCGAAUAGGGAGAAGGAUUGACGGUACCGGAAGAGAAAGCCACGGCUAACUACGUG
Molecule: ribosomal RNA, 510 nt
Filed under: uncultured bacterium
Lineage: Bacteria
Description: partial 16S ribosomal RNA
Rfam family: Bacterial small subunit ribosomal RNA
Source: RNAcentral